RNAcentral lists this ribosomal RNA (450 nucleotides) under uncultured prokaryote. Its description in RNAcentral is "bacterial SSU rRNA". It matches the Rfam family "Bacterial small subunit ribosomal RNA", at positions 355 to 796 of the family's 1533-position model. The record is from RNAcentral.
UGGGGAAUCUUGGGCAAUGGGCGCAAGCCUGACCCAGCAACGCCGCGUGAAGGAUGAAGGCCUUCGGGUCGUAAACUUCUGUCGGGAGGGAAGAAGGGUGUCAUUUCAAAUAGGCUUGGCAUUUGACGGUACCUCCAAAGGAAGCGCCGGCUAACUCCGUGCCAGCAGCCGCGGUAAUACGGAGGGCGCAAGCGUUGUUCGGAAUCACUGGGCGUAAAGCGCGUGUAGGCGGCUCGGAAAGUUGGUUGUGAAAUCCCGGGGCUCAACCCCGGAAGUGCAACCAAAACUACCGAGCUCGAGUCUCGGAGAGGGUGGCGGAAUUUCCGGUGUAGAGGUGAAAUUCGUAGAUAUCGGAAGGAACACCAGUGGCGAAGGCGGCCACCUGGACGAUGACUGACGCUGAGACGCGAAAGCGUGGGUAGCAAACAGGAUUAGAUACCCGCGUAGUCC